Molecule: long non-coding RNA, 1628 nt
Organism: Pteropus alecto (black flying fox)
Lineage: Eukaryota; Metazoa; Chordata; Mammalia; Chiroptera; Pteropodidae
Exons: 3
Source: RefSeq, a predicted model, not a curated record
UUUUACCAGGUGUGUGUUUUCCCUGGGGAAAUCAGAUACCUCAGACCCAGAGUGACGGCUGCGGACCUGUCCCACCUCUGGUCUGACCAGUGAAGACUCAGGCACACCCAGGAGGCUUCCUCCUACAGCUUCGGCAGCAGCACCGCCAGAGAGGUGGCGAGCCGCUCAUCUGUGGGGACAUGUAACCAAGACUAUCUGGCCAAGGGCAGGAACAUGUGUAGGACACGCUGUCUCUGGAUGGGAAGUUAGCGCGGAGAACCUCGUCCUAGUGUUAUAACUGCACAGGGCAUCCGGCAGCUUCUCAAGGUGGGGCCCAUGUGAGACCUACGCUCCAUUCCCGUGCUGAGCACGGGACUCUGGGCACAGGGGAGGGGCUCGGCGACAGUCUUUUAGCGGAAGAAAAGAAACACAGAGAGUAGGGAGGGGAAAAUAAUUGCAAUUUGACAUGGGAUGCGAGAGAGGGAUUCCUGAGCCGUCCCGAAGCAGGUGAUGUGUCAGAGGAGCCAGGAGCCACAGUCCACCUCAACUGCAGGAAAAAAGCAGCGGCUAACAUUUAUUGAGCGCCUACUGUGUGCUAUAGGUUCACACAGGGGUCACAGUUCUCCCAACAAUCGGACUGUUCUUAAGCCCGUUUUAUGAGGGAGGCAGUUGAGAUUUCACAGAGGAGAGGUUACCCACCCUGGGCCUCCCAGCUCGCGGGAGGUGGUGCGGGAGGCGGUGCGGGAGGCGGUGCGGGAGGCAGUGUGACUGGGUUGAGCACUGGCCUGGCUCACCGCACAGCCCAUCCUUUAGGGCAACAACAGGCCCAGGCUUUCAUAACUAGUGGCUGCUCUACCUCCCGGGAGGUGAAGAAAGUUCAAGUUCAGGUUCACUUUCUGCAUCUUGUCCCUCCUGUGUUACACAAGGAACUCCACCAGCACAGAUGGAGCAAUUCAGAAACCUCGUUUUAGGGAGAUUUUAACUUCAAAUCAACUCAAUUAAGCCGACCUCAUCGGAGAGAGGCAAGCCAGCUUCAGCCACCUGGAGGACUCGGUGUGUGCAGGACGACGCUUCCCUGUGAUGAGCAAGCAUGGGCACCUUUUCUCAUUUCUCCCAGCCUGGGCUGGUCGGCCGAGCAUGCUCCAUCCAGCAAAGCGAUGAAGUUCAGUGAAGGCUGGGUGCCAGGGGUGACAUUUCACGGGAACAUGUGGAGAAACGUCCACUCUGAAGAGGCAGGAAGGUGUUCUGGGAAUAGAGCCCGUGAGUCGGGAGCAUCUGUGUUCCGUCCCCAGCUCUGCCACGUGUGUGCUAAGCGCCGUCUUCAGGUGAGCACCCUGGGUGCAGGGGGCUCAGCUUCCACCUGCGGGGUCCUCUGAGGAGCCGGACGGUGGGAGAGUUCAAGAGGAGAUCUGACACGUACCAGGUGCUCAAUAAAAAAAUGUCCUCGGCUGUCACAGUUAUCAUUUGACGUGAAGGCUCAGGUACAGAUUGACUACUUUUAAUAUAAGUACCUUUUAUCUCUUCUCAUUACGAAGGUGAUAGGCACUGUUGUAGAAAACUUGGAGAAUUCGGAGGGAGGGAGGAAGCGUUUCCCUCUUAGUCUCUUUAUUCCAAAGCCUUCGGCCAGUGAUUUCAGUUUGUUUCUUUAC